AUGAUAUUAAUUUUUUUUACACAAACACUUAGUAAAUUUAUAGGAAUAGAUUUGAAUACGCCUAAUAGCGGUAAUGAUAAUAGUAAUGAUAAUAACAAUAAUAACAAUAGCAACAAUAAUAAUAGCAACAAUAAUAGUAAUAAUAAUAAUAAUAAUAAUAAUAAUAAUAACAACAACAACAACAACAAUAAUAAUAAUAAUAAUAAUAACAACAACAACAACAGUAAUAAUAAUAAUAACAACAACAACAACAAUAAUAAUAAUAAUAAUAAUAAUAACAACAACAAUAAACAUGUCUUCAUUUUUAUAAGGGUAAUUUUUAGUAAUUAUAUUUUACUUCAAAUGUAUUUAUUUUUUAUAAUAGAUACAUUUCAAUUAAUUGAUGAAAAGAAAUUUCGGUUCUCUAUAAAACAGUUACAAAUAUAUGUGGCUAACUUUUUUAAUACAAUACACAAACAUUUUCUUAAUUUGUCAGAUAUUGUAAUAGAUUAUAAUUUUUUAUUUCGUUCAAAAUAUGUUUAUAAAGAUAUACAAAAAAUAUGUUCCCAUAAUAAACAAGACGAUUGCUUAUACAUUAAAAAAAUGAUCAAGAAUAUAAAAAAAUAUUAUUUAACAGAAGAAGAAAAACAAAGUUUCGAUGAACAAAAUUUUAAUGACUCAUAUGAAAUCAAAUUGGACAAUAUUGGUUUGUACUUACCCAAAAUGUUGAAUCAUAUUUUAUACAAUAGAGAAGGAUUGCAUAAUGCAACCAAUUAUGAGAUAUGUGCUGUUGGUAAUAACAAAAAUGAAGAAUAUAAUAAUAUAACAGGGACACCUUUUUCAUUUUUAUUCACUGAUGAAGAGAUGAAUAAACAUAAAAUAAACAUAAAAACUAAUGGAAUAUUAAAAAAUACAACAGAUAUAACAUGGGAUGUGAACGAUUCAACAAAAGAUACAACAAAAGAUGUAGAAAAGGAAAUUUCAAAAUAUAUAAAUAUUUUAAAAAAAAUAAACUUGUCAACAAUAAAUGAAACCAACAUGGAAAUAAUGUGUUAUUAUAAUAAAAAAAUAAUUGUUCAGUUUUUAUUUUAUAACGUAUUAAAAAGCAUUAUAUAUAAUUGUUAUUACCUUAAUUUUUUUAGUACAGACAAUUUACAUCAUUUUAUUAGUAGUAGAAAAAGAUUUAAGGAUGUUUCAAAUGAUAAAAGCAAACAUAUAAAUAGUGAAAAUGAUUUUAUACAAAAUAAAAUUAUAAGAAAAAUCAAAGAAAUAAAAAAACAAAAAAAAACACAAAAAAAAGGAAUAAUUAUUAAAAGUGACUUAUCUAUAAAUGGUGAUAAACACAGUAGUGAUAGUAGCAAUACUAGUAAUAGUUGUAGUAAUAAUAUUAAGGGAUUGUUUUUUGAAAAGUAUUUUAUCUGUGAGCAAUUUAAAUAUAUAUUACUUUUUCAAAAUUGCCAUUUAAUAAAAGAAAAUAUCGAAAAAUUAUUAAAUGAUAAUAAUAUUACUUUACAAAAUGUUUCUACAAUUUUAGUUAACUGCGACGGUGAUAGUAAAAAUAAUGAACAAAGUAAAAAUAACAUUUCUGCACCAUUAGACCUGUCAGAAGGAGUAUAUAAUUUAGUUUCCAGCACAGAACCUAAAAAUGUACAUAAUAAAAUAACCACGAAAAGUGGUCAUACAGAUAAAGAAACAAAAAAAAAGCCCCAAAAAAUAAAACCUAUUUUAUUUCAUUACGAUUUUAUAGCAGAUAAAAAACACAACGAACAUAACACUUAUUUAAAAAAAGAAACAUUUAACCUGUUUUUAUAUAUUUAUACUAUUAACACCAUGAAGGAAUAUAAAAAUAUAGAAAGCUUUUUUAAUACAACCAAAUUUAAUAAUUUAUUAAAAUUAUUCAAUAAUAUGAAAUAUUUAUUUGGUAGUAAAAAAAAAAAAUAA
This 1920-nucleotide long non-coding RNA is filed under the name Piliocolobus tephrosceles (Ugandan red Colobus). RNAcentral's name for it is "lncRNA (ENSPTEG00000004340.1)". The record is from RNAcentral. Lineage: Eukaryota; Metazoa; Chordata; Mammalia; Primates; Cercopithecidae.